UACAGAGGGCCCAAGCGUUGUUCGGAUUCAUUGGGCGUAAAGGGUGCGUAGGCGGCUUUCUAAGUCGGAUGUGAAAACUCUGGGCUCAACCCAGAGCCUGCAUCCGAAACUGGAGAGCUAGGGUGCUGGAGGGGAAAGCGGAAUUCCUGGUGUAGCGGUGAAAUGCGUAGAUAUCAGGAGGAACACCGGUGGCGAAGGCGGCUUUCUGGACAGAUACCGACGCUGAGGCACGAAAGCUAGGGGAGCAAACAGG
RNAcentral lists this ribosomal RNA (253 nucleotides) under uncultured bacterium. RNAcentral's name for it is "partial 16S ribosomal RNA". It matches the Rfam family "Bacterial small subunit ribosomal RNA", at positions 524 to 776 of the family's 1533-position model. The record is from RNAcentral.